This 454-nucleotide ribosomal RNA is filed under the name uncultured bacterium. RNAcentral describes it as "bacterial SSU rRNA". It matches the Rfam family "Bacterial small subunit ribosomal RNA", at positions 342 to 786 of the family's 1533-position model. The record is from RNAcentral.
UAGGAGGCAGCAGUGGGGAAUAUUGCACAAUGGGCGAAAGCCUGAUGCAGCUAUGCCGCGUGUAUGAAGAAGGCCUUAGGGUUGUAAAGUACUUUCAUCGGGGAGGAAAAAACAAAACUAAUAAUUUUAUUUCUUGACGUUACCCGAAAAAGAAGCACCGGCUAACUCGGUGCCAGCAGCCGCGGUAAUACGGAGGGUGCUAGCGUUAAUCAGAAUUACUGGGCGUAAAGAGCACGUAGGUGGUUUUUUUAAGUCAGAUGUGAAAUCCCUGGGCUUAACCUAGGAACUGCAUUUUGAAACUGAAAUACUAGAGUAUCGUAGAGGGAGGUAGAAUUCUAGGUGUAGCGGUGAAAUGCGUAGAUAUCUGGAGGAAUACCUGUGGCGAAAGCGGCCUCCUAAACGAAUACUGACACUGAGGUGCGAAAGCGUGGGGAGCAAACAGGGAUUAGAUACC